This is a long non-coding RNA of Mangifera indica (mango), 1883 nucleotides long. RefSeq lists it as uncharacterized. The record is from RefSeq and is a predicted model, not a curated record. NCBI's taxonomy places the organism in Eukaryota, Viridiplantae, Streptophyta, Magnoliopsida, Sapindales, Anacardiaceae. The transcript has 3 exons.
CUCCGUUUUCCAAACAAUUCGUUUGUAUAUAAUGUCUAAAUUCCAUAGUCUUGUAAGAUUCAAUUCCCAAUCCGCCGGCCAACCACUCCCAACUGUUCAUUGUUCCUCGACGCCGAACGUUUUGAAGAAAAUGAGCUGCGCUUGGGGCUAUCGGGAGGUGGCCGGCGGUAGUGGUGGCAAAAGUGAGAUAGCCAAGAGCAGUGGAAAGAGAGGCUUUUCGGAUACGGAGGUUAACGAAAGAGUCGUCGUAGUCGGUCGUGAUUGAUGUUGAUGUUGUGGCGAAGAUGAAGGAGAAGACCAAUGUUUCAAAGCCACCGGCCAAAUGAGGAUAAUGCAUAACUGGAGCAGGCUUUUGCUAUGUCCAUGAAUAUUCUUGGAUGUGAUGUUUCCAUGGUUGAUGCUGAUAUGCCAGAUGCAACUAAUGAAGACAAGGAGUUGGCUUUGGGUAGGCUCUUUGGUUGUGCGCCUUUGUUAUGUGUUUCUAUACAAAGUAUCAUGCUAAUAAAUGCUUAAUGGCUUACUUCUGGGAUUGACAAAAUUUCACCUGAAUCUCAAAACGCUUUCUACAGUGAGCUGGGGCAUUUAAAGCAGCAUCUCAAUUGGCAACUGCUAUUCCACCUCCUGAUUCUAUAUUGAGCCAUGGUUUGGUUGGUAGAAUGGUGGUAAAAGACAGUGUGGACAUUUAACUUCAUGAUUAUAGAGGAGGCAUGGGAUUUAGACGUCUUUUGAAGAUGUCAUUCAUCAUAUUAACAUCAUCCGAGACUCCCCAAAUAUGAUAGCCAAGCAGCUUCUUCUCCUUUGCAUAAGAAAUUUUGGCUCUAAUUGCCUCAACGUCAUCAAAACCAAUCCAAGUUUUUCCUUUUGUCCAGUAAUUCACCACAUAAGUUGAGUUGUACUUGACAUGAACAUCAGGACCAUAUUGCUCAAUAUAAUUAUUGAUUUCCCUAUAUCUUACUGCUCCGUUUGGCAAUCUAAUGGCUGGUCCCUUUGCUGCUGCACAAAUACCAUUCUCCAUAGGGUUCUUUAGUGUCCAUGCGUAGCCAAAUAGAGGCAAACUCAAAACCAUGUUAUUUGCUAAUAAUCCUCCAUUAAUCCAUUCUCUCAUACAGAGCUACAUGAGCACCUGUAAAGUUAUCAAAUAGAGGUUGAAUAUAAACCUGAGCCAAUUCAAGCGUUGUUGUAUGCUCUCUAUAGGGUAACAGGCCGGAAGGCAGCAUUGGGUAAAGUUAUCAAAUAGAGGUUGAAUAUAAACCUGAGCCAAUUCAAGUGUUGUUGUAUGCUCUCUACAGGGUAAUGGGCCUGGAAGGCAGCAUUGGUGUAUGUUUAACUCUUGCUGUCAAGAGGAGUUGGGACUAAUUAGAGACUGCCGCCUCUAAAACGAUAGCAACUCUCCACUCUUGAAACAGAACUCCUAUAUUGAACACCUCAGAGCUUGAAAAUGGAUAAUGCCAAUCAAAGUCAAGGCCAUGAAAACCGUAAAGUCUGGCUAAUCUUAUCGAGGAAUCAACGAAGGAUAUUCGUUACAAAAAGUCACUUACCAUAAAAGAAGUUGCUGAUUUAUUUGCAUCAUUACCCCCAAUAGAUAGCAGUGUAGUGAGUGAUGACAGUGUGUGUGAAUGUGGAGAAAAUUUCUGCAUCAGUCGGUGAUACUAAGAGCUGGUAGGAGCAUAGCCACAGAUAAGGUGAGUGAAGAGAGAAGAAUUAAUCGCCGAAAUGGGAAGUUCAUUGUCUGUUGAAUGCAAAUAAUAACCAGCCCUGAUCCAAUUAGUUGCGCCAUAGAAGAUUAGAAGAAAAUACAGAAAACAAUGGUGAUAAUCUUGGACUUCAUUUGAAGGUGCUUAAAUUGCGCCACUUGUUAUCUAUCAGGGUCUUUGCUUACCUCA